Long non-coding RNA from Apis cerana (Asiatic honeybee), 701 nucleotides. RefSeq lists it as uncharacterized. NCBI's taxonomy places the organism in Eukaryota, Metazoa, Arthropoda, Insecta, Hymenoptera, Apidae. The record is from RefSeq and is a predicted model, not a curated record.
CUCCAUGGACAGAUAAGGACCCAUUGCAUUGCCCAAGAACAUACCAAUGGAAGACGCAUUCACGUUCAUGGAUAUCUGAAGACGUGACCACAGAUAUGAUUUUAUCAGAUAGAAAUAUUCAUAUGAGUAAAAAGAAACAUCCUUCAAGUUUAAGUGUCUUCAUGAUUUGCGACUGAAGAGGGCAAAAUUAAUAGAUCAAAUGAAUCUUCUUUCUGACAAUGAAGAAAUGGCCUUACCUUGACACAGUGCACUGAGCAAAGCCCCGACGAAGCGACCAAGAUUUAAAAGGGAUGCUACCCAGGAUGCUUCGGUAUCUGUCAGUCUCAAAGGCAUGUUCGCUUCCGUUGAUGUCAGUUGAGCCAAGUAUGGCGAUGCCCAACCAUUCGCGAGACCACUUCCGAUAAUAGCUAAGCAGACUGUCACAAACGGCCAUGAAACAGUUGUGUCAACGGAUGCGAGAGUAAUUUCAUUAGCUCAUUCAUAGACAUAGCUCUACAGGCAUCUUGUGUAUGGAAUACGGCGCAUUUUGAUGUAUACCAGAGAUUGUAUUAGAACGUCUUGAUCAAGUUUAAUGUUAAGCAAACAUUGCUUUUGUGAAUUUUCAAAAAACGUGAUUUAUUUGAUUUGACAAUAAAAUAAUAUAUAAUCGUUUAAUAGAAUUAUUAAAUUUAUAAAAACUAAUAAAAUUAUUAAAAUAUUUU